AACGAACGCUGGCGGCAGGCUUAACACAUGCAAGUCGAACGGUUGUAGCAAUACAGCAGUGGCAGACGGGUGAGUAACACGUGGGAACCUUCCUAGGGGUACGGAACAACUCAGGGAAACUUGAGCUAAUACCGUAUACGUCCGCGAGGAGAAAGAUUUAUCGCCCUUAGACGGGCCCGCGUCGGAUUAGCUAGUUGGUGGGGUAACGGCCUACCAAGGCGACGAUCCGUAGCUGAUCUUAGAGGAUGAUCAGCCACACUGGGACUGAGACACGGCCCAGACUCCUCCGGGAGGCAGCAGUGGGGAAUCUUGGACAAUGGGCGCAAGCCUGAUCCAGCCAUGCCGCGUGAGUGAAGAAGGUCUUCGGAUUGUAAAGCUCUUUUGCCAGGGACGAUAAUGACGGUACCUGGAGAAUAAGCCCCGGCAAACUUCGUGCCAGCCGCCGCUGUAA
Molecule: ribosomal RNA, 451 nt
Filed under: uncultured bacterium
Lineage: Bacteria
Description: partial 16S ribosomal RNA
Rfam family: Bacterial small subunit ribosomal RNA
Source: RNAcentral